This is a long non-coding RNA of Nilaparvata lugens (brown planthopper), 866 nucleotides long. RefSeq lists it as uncharacterized. NCBI's taxonomy places the organism in Eukaryota, Metazoa, Arthropoda, Insecta, Hemiptera, Delphacidae. The record is from RefSeq and is a predicted model, not a curated record. The transcript has 3 exons.
UAUAAAUAGAAAACAAUCAAUCAAUUAUCAACAUCUUUUCAAAUGAAAUUUUCUAUAUUUGUUAUUCAAUAAUACAUUUCACUUGUCACGUAUCCGACGUCCGAAUAAUUCUGAUUUUUGUCUGUUGUUGUAGGGCUUGUUUCUUGUUUGUUGUUUCUUGACCGUUAAAAACUCCAACUCCAAAACUGUUCAAUUUUAUAUUUUAUAGGUUACAUGUUGAUUGAAGACUUAUCACAAUAUUUUGAAAGUUUUUUAAUUCCAAAAUAAAUUGAAUUGAAGUUUAUUCUUCUACAUAGUUGAUAUGUUUAUGUAAAUUGAAUAAGGUAGACCAUUUAACGACAAAGUGUUUUAUAAAGUUUAUUUUAUACUUCUUUGCCUAGUUACUAAACGAUGUGUGGAUUGUGAUUCAGGCAGGUAGACAAGCAACCACCCUAGAGCCAAUGGGCAGCCGAGCGAUGAUCCUGUCACAGUAGCCAAGUGCCCCCUGUAGCUGGCACCGUCCCCAGGGGCCCGCGAGGUGGAUGGAGGCGGGAAGGCGAAAUGAAUAAGACGCCCGGUGAUGGUGAGAAUACUGAUGCUGGACUGAUGAACGUGCCAACUCCACUGAUACCUCACCAUAUUAUUUGUUUUACAUAGAGCAAUCCAAUAUUUUUUAUACACUUAUGAAGUGUAUUAUCAAUAAGCAUAAUAAAUAAUAAGAGUAUUUGAACAAACAAAAUAAACACUUGACAAGUAAUGUUAUCUGUUUAUGUAAAGAGUUUUUCACAUUUUAUACUCUGAAAUUGUUUUAUAUAAUUUCAUUAUAAUUCUCAUAAUGUGUAAUAGAUUGCAUAAAAUUGUUAUUAAAAACUCUAUUUACUGAAUAC